This 1201-nucleotide unclassified non-coding RNA is filed under the name Centruroides sculpturatus (bark scorpion). Its description in RNAcentral is "zinc finger protein ubi-d4-like, transcript variant X2". Lineage: Eukaryota; Metazoa; Arthropoda; Arachnida; Scorpiones; Buthidae. The record is from RNAcentral.
AAUAAACCGCCAAGCAUGCGCAGAACCGACUACGUUAAGGAAGUGAGCAUGCGCGUUGAUAAAAGUCAGAUUAAAGAGAAAGAGAAGAUGGCGGCAUCAACGGAAACGUUGAAAGUAAACUGGGAAUCGGUCGAUCGAUUGAAGAGCAUUCUCAGUGAUCCAUUUUAUAAAGAUGCCAUUGAAAAUUCUGCUAGUUAUAAUACUCGUCUUCGUGUAGAAAGGAAAAUGAGAUUACCAUUUUUAGAUGCACAAACAGGUGUUGCUCAGAGUGACUGUGCUCUAUGGAUGCAAAAGUGGCAAAGAAUGCCAGGAAUGAAUGAUGGACAGCUAUAUACUUAUCCUGCAAAAAGAUGGAGGAAGAAGAGAAGACAGUAUCUUAUGAAUGAUCGCUAUUUAACUUGUCGUACUAAGGAAACAGAUACCAAUGAAACAGAUAUGCACCAAAUAAGUGUCAUGGAAAACUCUGCUGCACAAGUUGAAGGAGAUGUAGAAAGUGCUGACAAAUUAACAGAAGAUUCAAAAGAUUCUUGGUAUAAAGAUUUUGAUGAAGCUAGUGAUCCUCCAGAUAUUGGAGAACUAGAUGAUGGUGAUUCUGAUUAUGAUGAGUAUGAAGAUUCAUAUUUAAGAAAAAAGAAAAGAAAGGUACGGAAUACUCGGUCAAAGAAGAAAACAGAACGCAAUGAUUACAGUGCAGAAACAGAAAAACCCUAUAGUUGUGAACUUUGUGGUGCUCGCUACAAGACUCGUCCAGGCCUAUCUUAUCACUAUAUGCAUAGUCACAAUAGUGUAUCAGCAGAAAACACAGAGGAGGAUUCAAGCAAUGCACCUUCUAAUGCAUCACCUUCAUGUCAUGUGACAGGAUCAACACCACCUUCAGCUGGACCUUCCAGUGACAAUCCACUUGCAGUUUGCAUGCUGCAAUGGUAAGAUACCAACUGUAAUGAUCUUCUCUAACUUUUGUUCUUCUGUCACGAUAAAAAUGUUUGUUGAAAUUCAUGAUAUGAUAUACAGUAGAACCUUCAUCAACUGCACAAAUUGGGAUCAAGAGUGCUACAAUUGUGCAAGGUCAGAAGAGUGCCUCUGGAAAAUCUGGAGUAUCUGCGAGUCCUUAUUGUGAUUUCUGUCUAGGUGAUAAUGUAGAAAAUAAAAAGACGAGACAGGCUGAAGAACUUGUUUCAUGUGCUGAUUGUGGCAGAUCAGG